ACGGAAGGCAGCAGUGGGGAAUAUUGCACAAUGGGGGAAACCCUGAUGCAGCGACGCCGCGUGAGUGAAGAAGUUAUUCGUAAUGUAAAGCUCUAUCAGCAGGGAAGAGAAUGACGGUACCUGACUAAGAAGCCCCGGCUAACUACGUGCCAGCAGCCGCGGUAAUACGUAGGGGGCAAGCGUUAUCCGGAUUUACUGGGUGUAAAGGGAGCGUAGACGGUCUGGCAAGUCUGAUGUGAAAGGCAGGGGCUCAACUCCUGGACUGCAUUGGAAACUGUCAGUCUUGAGUGCCGGAGAGGUAAGCGGAAUUCCUAGUGUAGCGGUGAAAUGCGUAGAUAUUAGGAGGAACACCAGUGGCGAAGGCGGCUUGCUGGACUGUAACUGACGUUGAGGCUCGAAAGCGUGGGGAGCAAACAGGAUUAGAUACCCUGGUA
This 434-nucleotide ribosomal RNA is filed under the name uncultured Lachnospiraceae bacterium. RNAcentral's name for it is "partial 16S ribosomal RNA". It matches the Rfam family "Bacterial small subunit ribosomal RNA", at positions 341 to 792 of the family's 1533-position model. The record is from RNAcentral. Lineage: Bacteria; Bacillati; Bacillota; Clostridia; Lachnospirales; Lachnospiraceae.